GAUGAAGAACGUAGCGAAAUGCGAUAAGUAAUGUGAAUUGCAGAAUUCAGUGAAUCAUCGAAUCUUUGAACGCACAUUUCGCCCGCCAGUAUUCUGGCGGGCAUGCCUGUUCGAGCGUCAUUUCAACCAUCAAGCCCCAGGCUUGUGUUGGGGACCUGCGGCUGCCGCAGGCCCUGAAAACCAGUGGCGGGCUCGCUGUCACACCGGGCGUAGUAGAUUUUAUCUCGCUCAGGGCGUGCUGCGGGUUCCGGCCGUUAAAAAGCCUUUUUUACCCAAGGUUGACCUCGGAUCAGGUAGGAAGACCCGCUGAACUUAAGCAUAUCAAUAAGCGGAGGA
Molecule: unclassified non-coding RNA, 336 nt
Filed under: soil metagenome
Description: partial contains 5.8S ribosomal RNA, internal transcribed spacer 2, and large subunit ribosomal RNA
Rfam family: 5.8S ribosomal RNA (bases 1-120)
Source: RNAcentral